UUAUGUGUACGUUGACAGUAAAUGAAUUCUCAACCAGAGUUCUAUCUGAACGUCAAGUUUAUUUUUGAAGAAAAAAGAGCUAUCGAUUUCUCAAAGUGAAGCGCACAAUGUGUACAGAAAGAAAAAACGUAUUGCAGACAGGAUUGAUCUAAUGUCAUCGGAGAAGAGCCUCAAUCCGAUGGUUUUGCUAUAUCUUGAUGGACAUGGAACGGUUAAAGCUGCUGGAACGCCCGGCCUUCGUCGAGAAAUCUUGAAUAUUUC
Long non-coding RNA from Xenia sp. Carnegie-2017, 261 nucleotides. RefSeq lists it as uncharacterized. The transcript has 3 exons. Lineage: Eukaryota; Metazoa; Cnidaria; Anthozoa; Malacalcyonacea; Xeniidae. The record is from RefSeq and is a predicted model, not a curated record.